This 449-nucleotide ribosomal RNA is filed under the name uncultured bacterium. Its description in RNAcentral is "partial 16S ribosomal RNA". It matches the Rfam family "Bacterial small subunit ribosomal RNA", at positions 30 to 523 of the family's 1533-position model. The record is from RNAcentral.
AUUGAACGCUGGCGGAAUGCUUUACACAUGCAAGUCGAACGAGAUCUUCGGGUCUAGUGGCGCACGGGUGCGUAACGCGUGGGAAUCUGCCCUUUGGUUCGGAAUAACAGUUGGAAACGACUGCUAAUACCGGAUGAUGACGAAAGUCCAAAGAUUUAUCGCCAGAGGAUGAGCCCGCGUAGGAUUAGCUAGUUGGUGUGGUAAAGGCGCGCCAAGGCGACGAUCCUUAGCUGGCCUGAGAGGAUGAUCAGCCACACUGGGACUGAGACACGGCCCAGACUCCUACGGGAGGCAGCAGUGGGGAAUAUUGGACAAUGGGCGAAAGCCUGAUCCAGCAAUGCCGCGUGAGUGAUGAAGGCCUUAGGGUUGUAAAGCUCUUUUACCCGGGAUGAUAAUGACAGUACCGGGAGAAUAAGCUCCGGCUAACUCCGUGCCAGCCGCCGCAGUAA